GCCGGGGUAGCUCAAUGGCAGAGCGAGGGUCUCAUAAUCCCUAGGUUGCGGGUUCGAUUCCCGCCCCCGGCACCA
This 75-nucleotide transfer RNA is filed under the name Acidobacteriota bacterium. RNAcentral's name for it is "Acidobacteria bacterium (sediment metagenome) tRNA-Met". It matches the Rfam family "tRNA". Rfam says of the family: Transfer RNA (tRNA) molecules are approximately 80 nucleotides in length. Lineage: Bacteria; Pseudomonadati; Acidobacteriota. The record is from RNAcentral.